RNAcentral lists this ribosomal RNA (253 nucleotides) under uncultured bacterium. RNAcentral describes it as "partial 16S ribosomal RNA". It matches the Rfam family "Bacterial small subunit ribosomal RNA", at positions 524 to 776 of the family's 1533-position model. The record is from RNAcentral.
UACGGGGGGGGCAAGCGUUGUUCGGAAUUACUGGGCGUAAAGGGCUCGUAGGCGGCCAACUAAGUCGGAUGUGAAAUCCCCAGGCUUAACCUGGGAACUGCAUCCGAUACUGGAUGGCUUGAAUCCGGGAGAGGGAUGUGGAAUUCCUGGUGUAGCGGUGAAAUGCGCAGAUAUCAGGAAGAACACCAAUGGCGAAGGCAGCUAUCUGGGACGGUACUGACGCUGAGACGCGAAAGCGUGGGGAGCGAACAGG